CGGAUAUAGCUCAGUUGGUUAGAGCGCUGGAUUGUGGCUCCGGAGGCCGUGGGUUCGAGUCCCAUUAUUC
Molecule: transfer RNA, 70 nt
Filed under: human oral metagenome
Rfam family: tRNA
About the family: Transfer RNA (tRNA) molecules are approximately 80 nucleotides in length. Their secondary structure includes four short double-helical elements and three loops (D, anti-codon, and T loops).
Source: RNAcentral